This 211-nucleotide RNase P RNA is filed under the name Syntrophaceticus sp. RNAcentral's name for it is "partial RNase P RNA component class A". It matches the Rfam family "Bacterial RNase P class A", at positions 155 to 367 of the family's 367-position model. From Rfam's summary of the family: Ribonuclease P (RNase P) is a ubiquitous endoribonuclease, found in archaea, bacteria and eukarya as well as chloroplasts and mitochondria. Its best characterised activity is the generation of mature 5'-ends of tRNAs by cleaving the 5'-leader elements of precursor-tRNAs. Lineage: Bacteria; Bacillati; Bacillota; Clostridia; Thermoanaerobacterales; Thermoanaerobacterales Family III. Incertae Sedis. The record is from RNAcentral.
UGGAACGGUGCGGUAAGAGCGCACCGGCGGUCAGGUGACUGGCCGGCCAGGUAAACCCCACCCGGAGCAAGACCGAAUAGGGAGGCAAUGGAGUUGCCCGCUCCGCCUCCGGGUAGGUUGCUGGAGGCACCGGGUAACCGGUGUCCAAGACAGAUGAUCACCACCUUCGGAAGCGAAGGCACAGAACCCGGCUUAUAGGACUGCUUGCUGA